ACGGGAGGCAGCAGUGAGGAAUAUUGGUCAAUGGAGGAAACUCUGAACCAGCCAAGUCGCGUGAAGGACGACGGCCCUAUGGGUUGUAAACUUCUUUUGUAGAUGGAUAAACGACAUUACGUGUAAUGUUUUGAAGGUAAUCUACGAAUAAGCAUCGGCUAACUCCGUGCCAGCAGCCGCGGUAAUACGGAGGAUGCGAGCGUUAUCCGGAUUUAUUGGGUUUAAAGGGUGCGCAGGCGGCACGUUAAGUCAGCGGUGAAAUGUCGGGGCUCAACCCGGGCACUGCCGUUGAAACUGGCGAGCUUGAGUACGGAUGAAGUCGGCGGAAUGUGAUGUGUAGCGGUGAAAUGCUUAGAUAUGUCACAGAACACCGAUUGCGAAGGCAGCUGACUAAUCCGCAACUGACGCUCAGGCACGAAAGCGUGGGGAUCGAACAGGAUUAGAUACCCUGGUA
RNAcentral lists this ribosomal RNA (454 nucleotides) under uncultured Dysgonomonas sp. Its description in RNAcentral is "partial 16S ribosomal RNA". It matches the Rfam family "Bacterial small subunit ribosomal RNA", at positions 341 to 792 of the family's 1533-position model. The record is from RNAcentral. Lineage: Bacteria; Pseudomonadati; Bacteroidota; Bacteroidia; Bacteroidales; Dysgonomonadaceae.